This is an RNA transcript of Chelonia mydas (Green sea turtle), 993 nucleotides long. It is a transcript of the gene named histone H2A-beta, sperm, with no coding region annotated. The transcript is spliced from 3 exons. Lineage: Eukaryota; Metazoa; Chordata; Testudines; Cheloniidae. The record is from RefSeq and is a predicted model, not a curated record.
GUGUUGGUAAUAAAUUUCUUGCUUUCAUCCGUAAUAAAGUUUACUAGUUUGGGGAAUGAAUGGCUCAUCAAUAAUCCAGGUGGUCAGCUGAUCUAGAAUAAAAGCUGCUAAUAGGAUGGCUACUGCUGAGAGAUUAAAAAGAAGGCAAUUAGCUUCUACUAUAAGAAGAGUUUGCUGGAUAGAGCUGGUAGCAAGCUUGGGAGAGGAUGAAGUAAAGUUCAUUGAAGAAAAAUCCCCCACAAAACACCCACUACCCUGUGAAAAAACUACUGGGAGCAUUUUAAGAUUACGUUGCUUCAGAAGCUGUUAAAGGAAUACUUGACACUUGAAAGUCGUUGCUGUAACACUGUCGUAACCUAGUUCUUCUUCUCUGGUUUGAUGUUAAGAUGUCUGGACGUGGAAAGAAAAAUGUGGUGGCUACAAAACCUACACUUCUACCAAGAAAAACAAAGUCAGCAAAGGCUGGCCUGCAAUUCCCAGUGGGUCGUGUCCACCGACUUCUCAAAAGAGGGAACUAUGCUGAGAGAAUAGGUGCUGGUGCUCCGGUCUACCUGGCGGCCGUACUGGAAUAUCUGACGGCUGAGAUAUUGGAACUGUCAGGAAAUGCUGCCCGUGAAAACAAGAAAGGCAGGAUUGGGCCACGACACAUCCAGCUGGCCGUGCGGAACGACGAAGAGCUGAACAAGCUGUUUGCCGAUGUGACCAUUGCUGAAGGAGGAGUUAUGCCCAACAUCCUUUCCCAGCUUCUUCCCAAGAAAACUCUUAAAGAGCCUUUACCAAGAGGGGAUGCUGCUGCUUCCCAAGAACAAUCCAGUAGCCACUGACUUACUCCUACCUUUCCUUGGCUGGGCUUCUGUACUUGGUGACCAUUGACUCAUGUUUAUUAAUGCUUUAGAUAUGCUAACACUGCUAAAUAUUACUCAGGGUGAUUGUUUUAAUGGUUUGUAUGUGUUUUAGAUGUUUGUAAUAAACUUUAUAGAAUUCAGCAGUUGA